CAGUGAUCUGUGUUUAGCUAAGGAUUUGCGAGGAAACCACAAGUGUGUUGAAAAUGUUUCGAGACAGAACUGUCCAGUGUGUAUGGAGGAUAUUCACACUUCCAGAAUUAGAGCGCAGGUCCUGCCAUGCAGUCACCUUCUGCAUAAGUAUGA
Thalassophryne amazonica is the source of this 153-nucleotide long non-coding RNA. RefSeq lists it as uncharacterized. The record is from RefSeq and is a predicted model, not a curated record. Lineage: Eukaryota; Metazoa; Chordata; Actinopteri; Batrachoidiformes; Batrachoididae. The transcript is spliced from 3 exons.